GACGAACGCUGGCGGCGUGCUUAACACAUGCAAGUCGAACGAAGAGCGAUGGACGCUUGCUUCUAUCAAUCUUAGUGGCGAACGGGUGAGUAACGCGUAAUCAACCUGCCCUUCAGAGGGGGACAACAGUUGGAAACGACUGCUAAUACCGCAUACGAUCUAAUCUCGGCAUCGAGGAUAGAUGAAAGGUGGCCUCUACAUGUAAGCUAUCACUGAAGGAGGGGAUUGCGUCUGAUUAGCUAGUUGGAGGGGUAACGGCCCACCAAGGCGAUGAUCAGUAGCCGGUCUGAGAGGAUGAACGGCCACAUUGGGACUGAGACACGGCCCAGACUCCUACGGGAGGCAGCAGCGGGGAAUCUUCCGCAAUGGACGAAAGUCUGACGGAGCAACGCCGCGUGAGUGAUGACGGCCUUCGGGUUGUAAAGCUCUGUUAAUCGGGACGAAAGGCCUUCUUGCGAAUAGUGAGAAGGAUUGACGGUACCGGAAUAGAAAGCCACGGCUAACUACGUG
RNAcentral lists this ribosomal RNA (510 nucleotides) under uncultured bacterium. RNAcentral describes it as "partial 16S ribosomal RNA". It matches the Rfam family "Bacterial small subunit ribosomal RNA", at positions 28 to 507 of the family's 1533-position model. The record is from RNAcentral.